AGCCCUGUAGCUCAGUUGGUAGAGCAUGGUGUUUGCAACGCCAGGGGUUGUGGGUUCGAUUCCCACGGUGGGGCCA
Molecule: transfer RNA, 76 nt
Filed under: Salmo salar (Atlantic salmon)
Lineage: Eukaryota; Metazoa; Chordata; Actinopteri; Salmoniformes; Salmonidae
Rfam family: tRNA
About the family: Transfer RNA (tRNA) molecules are approximately 80 nucleotides in length. Their secondary structure includes four short double-helical elements and three loops (D, anti-codon, and T loops). Further hydrogen bonds mediate the characteristic L-shaped molecular structure. tRNAs have two regions of fundamental functional importance: the anti-codon, which is responsible for specific mRNA codon recognition, and the 3' end, to which the tRNAs corresponding amino acid is attached (by aminoacyl-tRNA synthetases). tRNAs cope with the degeneracy of the genetic code in two manners: having more than one tRNA (with a specific anti-codon) for a particular amino acid; and 'wobble' base-pairing, i.e. permitting non-standard base-pairing at the 3rd anti-codon position.
Source: Rfam by way of RNAcentral